Molecule: small nuclear RNA, 115 nt
Filed under: Leishmania tarentolae
Lineage: Eukaryota; Euglenozoa; Kinetoplastea; Trypanosomatida; Trypanosomatidae
Description: partial non-coding RNA
Source: RNAcentral
ACUGGCCCCGUCACCUCGAGGGCGCCCGUGCCGCUUGCCGCGGCAUGCUGGGCGUACGGCCUCGAGUCGCUGCGGCGCUGGUGCACGUGCGCACGUCGGUGUGCCGUCUGCGCUG